CCCUUCUCUCCCUCCUUCCCUCCCUCUCCAGAAAAUCGUUUGUGGAUUGAAGCACAGUGGCUUGGCCACUGUCGGUGUGCGGAGGAAAGCGAUUGGGUUGGGAGACAUUGGCCCAACUCUGGCUGUUGUACGUGUUUCUCGGUGUCCAAACAGGAAUCAGCUGGAUUGGUUUGGUCCUGAAGUAGUGAAGUUGUUUGAAGAUAGGCGGUGGUGAAACGUGAGAAUUUGUGGAUUACCUCCAAACUUCCAAAAGAGAAGAGAGAAGGCAACAAAUUCAUGUGUAAUAACUUAAUGAUAAAUAAAAUUUGUAGUGGAAUAUAGGUCAAAACUUGAUCCAAAGUUUUAUAGUAACUUAAUCUAUGAAAAUGUUUUGUUGCUGUGUUGAGAAUGCUCAACAAAAAAAAUCCCAUGUAUUCUUUGUGAUGUUGAAUAUUGUGACUCGAUGAGAAGAAUGUAAUCUAUUAAGGAAAUAUGCUGUUUUUGUAACUCUAUUAAGGGAUCAGUGCAUUUCUGAGAUAAUCUUGCCUGUUAAAAUACA
This is a long non-coding RNA of Corylus avellana, 538 nucleotides long. RefSeq lists it as uncharacterized. Lineage: Eukaryota; Viridiplantae; Streptophyta; Magnoliopsida; Fagales; Betulaceae. The record is from RefSeq and is a predicted model, not a curated record.